ACGGGACCCGCACAAGCGGUGGAUGAUGUUGGUUUAAUUCGAUGCAACGACGAAAAACCUUUACCCACCUUUGACAUGUACGGAAUCCUUUAGAGAUAGAGGAGUGCUCGAAAGAGAGCCGUAACACAGGUGCUGCAUGGCUGUCGUCAGCUCGUGUCGUGAGAUGUUGGGUUAAGUCCCGCAACGAGCGCAACCCUUGUCAUUAGUUGCUACAUUCAGUUGGGCACUCUAAUGAGACUGCCGGUGACAAACCGGAGGAAGGUGGGGAUGACGUCAAGUCCUCAUGGCCCUUAUAGGUGGGGCUACACACGUCAUACAAUGGAUGGUACAAAGGGUCGCCAACCCGCGAGGGGGAGCCAAUCCCAUAAAGCCAUUCGUAGUCCGGAUCGCAGUCUGCAACUCGACUGCGUGAAGUCGGAAUCGCUAGUAAUCGUGGAUCAGAAUGUCACGGUGAAUAUGUCCCUGCUCCUU
Molecule: ribosomal RNA, 471 nt
Filed under: uncultured Acidovorax sp.
Lineage: Bacteria; Pseudomonadati; Pseudomonadota; Betaproteobacteria; Burkholderiales; Comamonadaceae
Description: bacterial SSU rRNA
Rfam family: Bacterial small subunit ribosomal RNA
Source: RNAcentral